UACGUAGGGUGCGAGCGUUAAUCGGAAUUACUGUGCGUAAAGCGUGCGCAGGCGGUGCUGUAAGACAGGCGUGAAAGCCCCGGGCUUAACCUGGGAAUGGCGCUUGUGACUGCAGUGCUUGAGUGCGGGAGAGGGGGAUGGAAUUCCGCGUGUAGCAGUGAAAUGCGUAGAUAUGCGGAGGAACACCGAUGGCGAAGGCAAUCCCCUGGGCCUGCACUGACGCUCAUGCACGAAAGCGUGGGGAGCAAACAGG
Molecule: ribosomal RNA, 253 nt
Filed under: uncultured bacterium
Lineage: Bacteria
Description: partial 16S ribosomal RNA
Rfam family: Bacterial small subunit ribosomal RNA
Source: RNAcentral